RNAcentral lists this ribosomal RNA (254 nucleotides) under uncultured bacterium. RNAcentral describes it as "partial 16S ribosomal RNA". It matches the Rfam family "Bacterial small subunit ribosomal RNA", at positions 524 to 776 of the family's 1533-position model. The record is from RNAcentral.
UACGUAGGGGGCAAGCGUUGUCCGGAUUUAUUGGGCGUAAAGAGCUCGUAGGCGGUUUGGUAAGUCAGGUGUGAAAUCUCCACGCUCAACGUGGAGGGGCCACCUGAUACUGCCAUGACUGGAGUCCGGUAGAGGAGUGUGGAAUUCCCGGUGUAGCGGUGAAAUGCGCAGAUAUCGGGAGGAACACCGGUGGCGAAGGCGGCUUUCUGGACAGUGACUGACGCUGAGAUACGAAAGCGUGGGGAGCAAACAGG